ACGCUCGACACCUACGGGAGGCAGCAGUGGGGAAUAUUGGGCAAUGGGCGCAAGCCUGACCCAGCAACGCCGCGUGAAGGAAGAAGGCUUUCGGGUUGUAAACUUCUUUUAAGGGGGAACAGGAGAAGAGGGUACCCCUUGAAUAAGCCACGGCUAACUACGUGCCACAGCCGCGGUAAUCUGAGCGGGCUGGCAAGGC
RNAcentral lists this ribosomal RNA (199 nucleotides) under uncultured bacterium. RNAcentral's name for it is "partial 16S ribosomal RNA". It matches the Rfam family "Bacterial small subunit ribosomal RNA", at positions 328 to 539 of the family's 1533-position model. The record is from RNAcentral.